RNAcentral lists this ribosomal RNA (449 nucleotides) under uncultured bacterium. RNAcentral describes it as "bacterial SSU rRNA". It matches the Rfam family "Bacterial small subunit ribosomal RNA", at positions 355 to 796 of the family's 1533-position model. The record is from RNAcentral.
UGGGGAAUUUUGGACAAUGGGGGAAACCCUGAUCCAGCCAUUCCGCGUGAGUGAAGAAGGCCUUCGGGUUGUAAAGCUCUUUCGGCAGGAACGAAACGGUGUGGGCCAAUACCCUGCAUCAAUGACGGUACCUGAAGAAGAAGCACCGGCUAACUACGUGCCAGCAGCCGCGGUAAUACGUAGGGUGCGAGCGUUAAUCGGAAUUACUGGGCGUAAAGCGUGCGCAGGCGGUUUUGUAAGACAGCUGUGAAAUCCCCGGGCUCAACCUGGGAACUGCGGUUGUGACUGCAAGACUGGAGUACGGCAGAGGGGGGUGGAAUUCCACGUGUAGCAGUGAAAUGCGUAGAGAUGUGGAGGAACACCGAUGGCGAAGGCAGCCCCCUGGGCUAGUACUGACGCUCAUGCACGAAAGCGUGGGGAGCAAACAGGAUUAGAUACCCCCGUAGUCC